This 1247-nucleotide long non-coding RNA is filed under the name Equus asinus (donkey). RNAcentral's name for it is "lncRNA (ENSEASG00005036267.1)". Lineage: Eukaryota; Metazoa; Chordata; Mammalia; Perissodactyla; Equidae. The record is from RNAcentral.
UUUUUUCUUUCUUCUUCUCCCCAAAGCCCCCCAGUACAUAGUUGUAGAUUGUAGUGUGAGUGCCUCUGGUUGUGGCAUGUGGGACGCUGCCUCAGCAUGGCCUGAUGAGCGGUGCCAUGUCCGCACCCAGGAUCCGAACCGGUGAAACCCUGGGCCGCCGAAGGCAGAGCACGUGAACUUGACCACUCGGCCACGGGGCCCAUUCCUACACUGGCUUUUUAGACUCGUCCUUCCCGAACUGCCCGGGCAGCUGGAUCGCAGCGCAUGGCGAAGGCGGGAGGUGCACUUCCCCCGGACCAGCGGGCUCGGGCUCCACAGUGACAGCGUCCAGGCCACAGAUGGGUCUUGCCAGUUGCUCCUCUCUGGGCCUGGCCUGAGCCCUUCGGAUGGUGUCAGCCCCGGGGCCUGGACCCAGGGUUUGAGGGCGAGGCUCCCGGGGCUUCUGCCUCAUGCGGAGGUUAGGUUACAAAGCCUGCAUGAAAGACUCCAAAUUCAUUUAGUCAAUUUACCCUUGAAAAUUCCUUAAAUGAACAGAAUGUAGGGCCCUUGGAAGCUCAAAAUCUAAUAAUUCACUUUGUUCUGUUUUCAUUUUGGCUGUGGCCUUGCUUUCCUUGGAACUGUGAAGACCAAGGUCUCAUUUGAACGAGGUGGGAAUUAGAGGAGGGUCAAGGGUUGACGAGCUCUCUCACACGUUUGAUUCAUCGCAAGUUUACGUGUGCAUGUGACGUGGCUCCUGCGUGUCGAUGUGGUGGGGGACAUCGCGGGCACAGAUACGUUGUGUCACUCAAUCUCACAGUGGCCAUAGGAGCAGGCUGGAGCCGUGCAUCCGUCAGUUGCAGGAGACAAAAAAUCCAGCGCAGAGGGAGUUUGCAGACUCUGGGAACUGGCCGUGUGAGCACUGACCAGGCUUCAGGCCUGGCUCUAACAAUCUGGGGUCUGAUCUCUCGCAGUCUUCCCUCUUUGCUCCCUGACGAGUUGGCCUCGCUCUCAGCUAGUCUCUUCCGAUUGAAGGCAAAGUGGUCACUCGCGGCUCCUGAGGUAGCCUCCUCCUCUGUCAACUUACAGCCUCAGUGGAAAAGCAGCCUUUACCACGAGCUCAGCAAGAGGCUCAGGAAGGGUUUUCAUUGGUCCAGCUCGAGUCACACACCUGUCCCUGACCAAUCACGGGGCUGUGUGUGAAUUAAGUGCCCACCCCUGGAGACCCUCAUGGACUGAGAGCCGGGGAGGGGGGUCCCCAAAGAAAAGAG